AAGCGUUAUCCGGGAAUUAUUGGGGCGUAAAGCGGCGCGUAGGCGGGUUUUUUAAGUCUGAUGUGAAAGCCCACGGGCUCAACCCGUGGAGGGUCAUUGGAAACUGGAAAACUUGAGUGCAGAAGAGGAAAGUGGAAUUCCAUGUGUAGCGGUGAAAUGCGCAGAGAUAUGGAGGAACACCAGUGGCGAAGGCGACUUUCUGGUCUGUAACUGACGCUGAUGUGCGAAAGCGUGGGGAUCAAACAGGAUUAGAUACCCUGGUAGUCCACGCCGUAAACGAUGAGUGCUAAGUGUUAAGGGGGUUUCCGCCCCUUAGUGCUGCAGCUAACGCAUUAAGCACUCCGCCUGGGGGAGUACGACCGCCAAGGUUGAAACUCAAAAGGAAUUGACGGGGGACCCGCACAAGCGGUGGAAGCAUGUGGUUUUAAUUCGAAGCAACCGCGAAGAACCUUACCAAAUCUUGACAUCCUCUGACCCCUCUAAGAGAUAAGAGUUUUCCCCUUUCGGGGGGACAAGAGUGACAAGGUGGGUGCCAUGGGUUGUCGUCCAGCUCCGUGUCCGUGAGAUGUUGGGUUAAGUCCCGCAACGAGCGCAACCCUUAAGCUUAGUUGCCAUCAUUAAGUUGGGCACUCUAAGUUGACUGCCGGUGACAAACCGGAGGAAGGUGGGGAUGACGUCAAAUCAUCAUGCCCCUUAUGAUUUGGGCUACACACGUGCUACAAUGGACAAUACAAAGGGCAGCGAAACCGCGAGGUCAAGCAAAUCCCAUAAAGUUGUUCUCAGUUCGGAUUGUAGUCUGCAACUCGACUAUAUGAAGCUGGAAUCGCUAGUAAUCGUAGAUCAGCA
RNAcentral lists this ribosomal RNA (846 nucleotides) under Staphylococcus epidermidis. RNAcentral describes it as "bacterial SSU rRNA". It matches the Rfam family "Bacterial small subunit ribosomal RNA", at positions 536 to 1354 of the family's 1533-position model. Lineage: Bacteria; Bacillati; Bacillota; Bacilli; Caryophanales; Staphylococcaceae. The record is from RNAcentral.